AUGUCCCUACGGGAGGCAGCAGUAGGGAAUAUUGCUCAAUGGGGGAAACCCUGAAGCAGCAACGCCGCGUGGAGGAUGAAGGUUUUCGGAUUGUAAACUCCUUUUGUUAGAGAAGAUAAUGACGGUAUCUAACGAAUAAGCACCGGCUAACUCCGUGCCAGCAGCCGCGGUAAUACGGAGGGUGCAAGCGUUACUCGGAAUCACUGGGCGUAAAGAGCGCGUAGGCGGGAUAGCACGUCAGAUGUGACAUCCUAUGGCUUAACCAUAGAACUGCAUUUGAAACUGUUCUUCUAUAGUAUGGGAGG
RNAcentral lists this ribosomal RNA (305 nucleotides) under uncultured bacterium. RNAcentral's name for it is "bacterial SSU rRNA". It matches the Rfam family "Bacterial small subunit ribosomal RNA", at positions 333 to 655 of the family's 1533-position model. The record is from RNAcentral.